Molecule: unclassified non-coding RNA, 401 nt
Filed under: Hevea brasiliensis (rubber tree)
Lineage: Eukaryota; Viridiplantae; Streptophyta; Magnoliopsida; Malpighiales; Euphorbiaceae
Source: RNAcentral
CUCCUGAUGUCUUUGAUAAAGGGAAAGCUUUUUCAGUUCUGGGUCUAAGCUUUCGGGUUCUGGUUCUGGUUCUUCUGAGCUUCUGUAGGCAUCUGCAAUAGCUUUCCCUUUAUCAAAGACAUCAGGAGGGACAGUGUGGAGGAGGCUGUCUAGGGCAUCAAGGGCAACGCCUAUUUUUGCCUUCAUUGAUUUGACUGAAGCUGCUGGAUCAUUUCUUGAUGCAAGGAGAAGCAAGGCAUCCAGUUCUUCCAAGGCUCUGAGACAUUGAUCAACAUCAUUGAAAGCAGUGUUGCCACUUCCAGCAUCUGAGGCAUAUUGCGCUACUGCACGAAUAUUUAUACGAAGAGAGGCUGCAGGACCAGAGCGUAACAGAUAUCGACAGUCAGCAAACUGGGGUUGAU